RNAcentral lists this ribosomal RNA (443 nucleotides) under uncultured bacterium. RNAcentral describes it as "partial 16S ribosomal RNA". It matches the Rfam family "Bacterial small subunit ribosomal RNA", at positions 338 to 795 of the family's 1533-position model. The record is from RNAcentral.
CCUACGGGAGGCAGCAGUGGGGAAUAUUGGGCAAUGGGCGCAAGCCUGACCCAGCAACGCCGCGUGAAGGAAGAAGGCUUUCGGGUUGUAAACUUCUUUUGUCAGGGACGAAGCUAGUGACGGUACCUGACGAAUAAGCCACGGCUAACUUCGUGCCAGCCGCCGCGGUAAUACGGAGGUGGGAAGCGUUAUCCGGAUUUACUGGGUGUAAAGGGCGUGUAGGCGGGACUGUAAGUCAGAUGUGAAAACCACGGGCUCAACCUGUGGCCUGCAUUGGAAACUGUAUUUCUUGAGUACUGGAGAGGUAGACGGAAUUCCUAGUGUAGCGGUAAAAUGCGUAGAUAUUAGGAGGAACACCAAUGGCGAAGGCGGUCUGCUGGACAGCAACUGACGCUGAGGCGCGAAAGCGUGGGGAGCAAACAGGAUUAGAUACCCCAGUAGUC